Molecule: ribosomal RNA, 394 nt
Filed under: uncultured bacterium
Lineage: Bacteria
Description: bacterial SSU rRNA
Rfam family: Bacterial small subunit ribosomal RNA
Source: RNAcentral
UGAGGGUCAAGGCGCAGUCGCCUGUGGAGGAGCCUGCGUCCGAUUAGCUUGUUGGUGGGGUAACGGCCUACCAAGGCGAUGAUCGGUAGCCUGGUCUGAGAGGAUGAUCAGCCACACUGGGACUGAGACACGGCCCAGACUCCUACGGGAGGCAGCAGUGGGGAAUAUUGGACAAUGGGCGCAAGCCUGAUCCAGCAAUGCCGCGUGGAUGAAGAAGGUCUUCGGAUUGUAAAGUCCUUUCGGCGGGGACGAUGAUGACGGUACCCGCAGAAGAAGCCCCGGCUAACUUCGUGCCAGCAGCCGCGGUAAUACGAAGGGGGCUAGCGUGCUCGGAAUGACUGGGCGUAAAGGGCGCGUAGCGGUUUGGUUAGUUAGGCGUGAAAUUCCUGGGCUA